CACUAGCCUCAACAACUGUGCAGUUAAAACUUUUAUGCAAUGCUAUUCCUGCUAUGUCAUUCACUUCGAGCUUUCGUUUCACGUGUGCCGUCAUUUCUCGAUUGCAUUGAUACAACCUGGACUUAAUAGGACUUGUCUUAUGAUUGUGGUCAAAGUGGACCAUGUUAAUUUUCCAAUAACCAUGGAUAUCUAAAGAUGUAGAGAUCAUAGCUUUGCAAUUCGUUUAAAUUGUUAGUGAGACUUCAAAGAAGUGCUUGUAUUACCAGUUCGUCGUACCUCCUGACUACACGUCAACGUGACAUAUCUCAAAACACCAUCAUCAUCCCUCGUAGAACUCCUCUUCCUAACUGGAAGCAUAGGCAUAUCUUGCAUAAAAAUCAUAUACUUCUUUUUUAUCAUUGAACUGUGUACCAACCUCUGGCACAAUCAAACCAUCUCUUCCUACCAUUUUGUCUUCCACGACAUUCACAUUGCCCUCUACAUUCUCAAUCUCAGAAUCAAUGAACAAAACAUCUUCCAUAUUUGGUAUUCCUACAAAACGUAAACACUCACCCAUUCUUUAAAUGUCC
Molecule: long non-coding RNA, 569 nt
Filed under: Olea europaea subsp. europaea
Lineage: Eukaryota; Viridiplantae; Streptophyta; Magnoliopsida; Lamiales; Oleaceae
Source: RNAcentral